UGCUUAUUUUGCACAGGCGGAGCUCGACCGCCCAUUCCGCAAAUGAUUGCCUUCAUCAAAGAUCAUCGCGGGGCGCAUGGGGUCGAGCCGAUCUGUAGAGUUCUCCAGAUUGCCCCU
Regulatory RNA element from Aliiroseovarius crassostreae, 117 nucleotides. It matches the Rfam family "ALIL pseudoknot". The record is from Rfam. Lineage: Bacteria; Pseudomonadati; Pseudomonadota; Alphaproteobacteria; Rhodobacterales; Paracoccaceae.